AUUUUAUGUAUGUAUGUAUGUAAUGUUUACAGUCGUGUAUGCUUGUCAAGAGCAGGGUUCAUUAGCCACCAACGGAGCCACACAUGCAAAAUAUUAGUCCUAGAGCGUACAAUGUUCCUGAAGUUCAGCAAUGGUCUUCCUCGGUCACGAGUGGACAGACAUUAUGCAUGUAUGUAUGUGUGUGCGUUUAUACAAACACACACGCACGAACGCACACGCACGCACACGCACGCACACACACACGCACACACACACACAUACACACACAGACAUAUGCCUCAAGUAUUUAGGAAAAACCGUUGUGGACCAUAAGUGAUCCAAACUUUAACUAAAUACUCUCUCCCUUUUGAACCCAAAUGUGGAAGCUUCGAAUGUAACGCAGGCCGCGAAAAAGCAUGCUGCUUUCGAUACCUUAUCCACCAGCCACCGUGAUUCUGGAGUUGCAGCCUUCAUAAAUUUUCCCAGGCCCUUUUCAGAUCUUAGAUCAGAAAAAGAGUUCCUGGGCCCGAGCGGGAAUGUAUACUCUAUGACCAAAAGCAAAAUUACACUCUCGAUAGUCAGAUGUUGUCAAAAAAUUCGAUUUUGCCUAACUAACCCAGGGCGCCAUCAGCAAGUGAAGAUGAUAGGCAAUGACUGUCAUUCACUUGCUGAGGUCAUUGUUGAAGAUGCCUGGACAAACUCGACAAACUCGACUCUUCUGACAAUAUCUGACUAUCGAGAGCGUACAACUGUCACGUGUAUUACGUUCCAAAUACCCCGCGAUAGGUGAAAAUCCGCGAAGUGGAAACAGUUCUGUACUGUAUAUUUUAUUAUUAUUUUUAUAAUCUGUAUAUAUCUAUUUUAUCAUAAUUGCAAAACAACACCACACACUCGCCUUCCGGGUUUCGUUUUUCAUACAGUAUGUACGAUUCUUUGUUUAUUUAUCUACGGUACACUACGUAUUUUCUUUUAAUAUAUUUUAAUUAAUGUGUUAUACAGUGCAGUACUGUACUGUAUUUUCAUUUAUUAACUUAUUAAUUUUUAGGUGAUAAAACGCUUAUUUUACCACAGAAAUAAUUAAAAUCUAAAAGACUAUAAAUAGCUAUCGCCCGCAGAGACCCGCUAUAUAAUGAGGAGUCCGCGAUAUAAAUUUACAUAUAUGAGCCAGAAAAUCCGCGAAAUACUGAUGGCACGAUAGGUGAACUGCAAUAUGGCGAGUGAUUAUUGUAUUUUUGCUUUUGGUGAUGGAACAUAAAUUCCCACUCGGGGCCAGGAGCUCAUUUCUGAUCGUAAACACGAAGGGUCUGGCAAAAUUUAUGAAGGCUGCAAUUUCAGAAUCACUGUGGUUGGCGGUUAAGGCAUCGACAACAUUGCACUAUUUCAAACUCAGCGUUAUAUUCGAAGUUUCCACGUUGGGGUUCAAAUGGAGGUUUGGACCCCUUAUUGUCCUUAAAUAGUUGAGGCAGAUAUAUAUAUCAAUAUCUUCCUUUUUUUUACUUUCUCUUACUUGUUUCAGUCAUUUUGACUGUGGCC
Long non-coding RNA from Octopus sinensis (East Asian common octopus), 1512 nucleotides. RefSeq lists it as uncharacterized. NCBI's taxonomy places the organism in Eukaryota, Metazoa, Mollusca, Cephalopoda, Octopoda, Octopodidae. The record is from RefSeq and is a predicted model, not a curated record. The transcript is spliced from 3 exons.